AACGAACGCUGGCGGCAUGCCUAACACAUGCCAGUCGAACGAAGCCUUCGGGCUUAGUGGCGCACGGGUGCGUAACGCGUGGGAAUCUGCCCCUUGCUUCGGAAGAACAGUUAGAAAUGACUGCUAAUACCGGAUGAAGUCUUCGGACCAAAGAUUUAUCGGCAAAGGAUGAGCCCGCGUAGGAUUAGGUAGUUGGUGGGGUAAAGGCCUACCAAGCCGACGAUCCUUAGCUGGUCUGAGAGGAUGAUCAGCCACACUGGUACUGAGACACGGCCCAGACUCCUACGGGAGGCAGCAGUGGGGAAUAUUGGACAAUGGACGCAAGUCUGAUCCAGCAAUGACGCGUGAGUGAUGAAGGCCUUAGGGUUGUAAAGCUAUUUUACCAGGGAUGAUAAUGACAGUACCUGGAGAAUAAGCUCCGGCUAACUCCGUG
This 433-nucleotide ribosomal RNA is filed under the name uncultured bacterium. RNAcentral's name for it is "partial 16S ribosomal RNA". It matches the Rfam family "Bacterial small subunit ribosomal RNA", at positions 29 to 507 of the family's 1533-position model. The record is from RNAcentral.